AACGAACGCUGGCGGCGUGCUUAACACAUGCAAGUCGAGCGAUGAAGCACCUUCGGGUGUGAAUUAGCGGCGAACGGGUGAGGAACACAUGAAGAAUCUGCCUUCAACUCUGGGAUAACUCCGGGAAACCGGGGCUAAUACCGGAUAUGAGCCUUGAUCGCAUGAUCGGGGAUGGAAAGUUUUUCGGUUGAAGAUGACUUCGCGGCCUAUCAGCUUGUUGGUGAGGUAAUGGCUCACCAAUGCGACGACGGGUAGCCGGCCUGGGAGGGCGAACGGCCACACUGGGAAUGAGACACGGCCCAGACUCCUACGGGGGGCAGCAGUGGGGAAUAUUGGGCAAUGGAGGAAACUCUGACCCAGCGACGCCGCGUGAGGGAUGAAGGCCUUCGGGUUGUAAACCUCUUUCAGUAGGGAAGAAGCGAAAGUGACGGUACCUACAGAAGAAGCACCGGCUAACUAUGUGCCAGCAGCCGCCGUAA
This 479-nucleotide ribosomal RNA is filed under the name uncultured bacterium. RNAcentral's name for it is "partial 16S ribosomal RNA". It matches the Rfam family "Bacterial small subunit ribosomal RNA", at positions 29 to 523 of the family's 1533-position model. The record is from RNAcentral.